GGGGAAUUGUUCGCAAUGGGCGCAAGCCUGACGACGCAACGCCGCGUGGAGGAUGAAGAAUUUCGGUUCGUAAACUCCUGUCGAGCGGGACGAAAGAUGCGCGGGUUAAUACCCCGCGCAAGUGACGGUACCGCUAAAGGAAGCCCCGGCUAACUCCGUGCCAGCAGCCGCGGUAAUACGGGGGGGGCAAGCGUUGUUCGGAAUUACUGGGCGUAAAGGGCUCGUAGGCGGCCAACUAAGUCGGACGUGAAAUCCCCAGGCUCAACCUGGGAACUGCGUCCGAUACUGGAUGGCUUGAAUCCGGGAGAGGGAUGCAGAAUUCCAGGUGUAGCGGUGAAAUGCGUAGAUAUCUGGAGGAAUACCGGUGGCGAAGGCGGCAUCCUGGACCGGCAUUGACGCUGAUGAGCGAAAGCCAGGGGAGCAAA
This 425-nucleotide ribosomal RNA is filed under the name uncultured bacterium. Its description in RNAcentral is "bacterial SSU rRNA". It matches the Rfam family "Bacterial small subunit ribosomal RNA", at positions 356 to 772 of the family's 1533-position model. The record is from RNAcentral.